UUACGGCCAUAUCAUACUGAAACACCGGUCCUCAUACGGUCAUCGAAGUCAAGCAAUGCCGAGCCUGGUCAGUAUCUAGAUGAGUGACCAGUGAGAAAUACCGGGUGUUGUAA
Non-coding RNA from Acanthosepion pharaonis, 113 nucleotides. The record is from the annotation of a GenBank genome assembly. NCBI's taxonomy places the organism in Eukaryota, Metazoa, Mollusca, Cephalopoda, Sepiida, Sepiidae.